This 484-nucleotide ribosomal RNA is filed under the name uncultured bacterium. Its description in RNAcentral is "partial 16S ribosomal RNA". It matches the Rfam family "Bacterial small subunit ribosomal RNA", at positions 30 to 507 of the family's 1533-position model. The record is from RNAcentral.
AUUGAACGCUGGCGGCAGGCCUAACACAUGCAAGUCGAGCGGAUGAAGGGAGCUUGCUCCUGGAUUCAGCGGCGGACGGGUGAGUAAUGCCUAGGAAUCUGACUGGUAGUGGGGGAUAACGUCCGGAAACGGGCGCUAAUACCGCAUACGUCCUGAGGGAGAAAGUGGGGGAUCUUCGGACCUCACGCUAUCAGAUGAGCCUAGGUCGGAUUAGCUAGUUGGUGGGGUAAAGGCCUACCAAGGCGACGAUCCGUAACUGGUCUGAGAGGAUGAUCAGUCACACUGGAACUGAGACACGGUCCAGACUCCUACGGGAGGCAGCAGUGGGGAAUAUUGGACAAUGGGCGAAAGCCUGAUCCAGCCAUGCCGCGUGUGUGAAGAAGGUCUUCGGAUUGUAAAGCACUUUAAGUUGGGAGGAAGGGCAGUAAGUGAAUACCUUGCUGUUUUGACGUUACCAACAGAAUAAGCACCGGCUAACUUCGUG